RNAcentral lists this transfer RNA (20 nucleotides) under Emelianthe panganensis. RNAcentral's name for it is "partial tRNA-Phe". The record is from RNAcentral. Lineage: Eukaryota; Viridiplantae; Streptophyta; Magnoliopsida; Santalales; Loranthaceae.
CGGGAUAGCUCAGUUGGUAG